AUGAUCACUUCAACAGCAAAUAUACUAAAAUUGGAAAGAUACAGAGAAGAUGAGCAUGUCCCCUGUGCAAGGAUGACAUUGCAGAUUUGUGAAGUGUUCCAUAUUUUU
RNAcentral lists this small nuclear RNA (108 nucleotides) under Dasypus novemcinctus (nine-banded armadillo). Lineage: Eukaryota; Metazoa; Chordata; Mammalia; Cingulata; Dasypodidae. The record is from RNAcentral.